This 451-nucleotide ribosomal RNA is filed under the name uncultured bacterium. Its description in RNAcentral is "bacterial SSU rRNA". It matches the Rfam family "Bacterial small subunit ribosomal RNA", at positions 29 to 524 of the family's 1533-position model. The record is from RNAcentral.
AACGAACGCUGGCGGCAUGCCUAACACAUGCAAGUCGAACGAAGCCUUCGGGCUUAGUGGCGCACGGGUGCGUAACGCGUGGGAAUCUGCCCUUGGGUUCGGAAUAACAGUUAGAAAUGACUGCUAAUACCGAAUGAUGUCUUCGGACCAAAGAUUUAUCGCCCAAGGAUGAGCCCGCGUCGGAUUAGCUAGUUGGUGAGGUAAAGGCUCACCAAGGCGACGAUCCGUAGCUGGUCUGAGAGGAUGAUCAGCCACACUGGGACUGAGACACGGCCCAGACUCCUACGGGAGGCAGCAGUGGGGAAUAUUGGACAAUGGGCGAAAGCCUGAUCCAGCAAUGCCGCGUGAGUGAUGAAGGCCUUAGGGUUGUAAAGCUCUUUUACCCGGGAUGAUAAUGACAGUACCGGGAGAAUAAGACCCCGGCUAACUCCGUGCCAGCAGCCGCGGUAAU